GGUGGUGCAUGGCCGUUCUUAGUUGGUGGAGUGAUUUGUCUGGUUAAUUCCGAUAACGAACGAGACCUUAACCUGCUAACUAGAUCUUAUUAUCUUAUAAUUUGCAUCUUCUUAGAGGGACUAUGUAAUCUAAAUACAUGGAAGUUUGAGGCAAUAACAGGUCAGUGAUGCCCUUAUAUGUCCUGGGCUGCACGCGUGCUACACUGAUGCAUACAACAAGUGCCUAACCAGACAUGGUAUGGCAAUCUCGAAUAUGCAUCGUGAUGGGGAUAGAUCUUUGCAAUU
This 285-nucleotide ribosomal RNA is filed under the name uncultured rumen protozoa. RNAcentral describes it as "partial 18S ribosomal RNA". It matches the Rfam family "Eukaryotic small subunit ribosomal RNA", at positions 1276 to 1591 of the family's 1831-position model. The record is from RNAcentral.